AAAAUCCGUCGAAUUUCUUAAAUCGUGAGGGUUCAAGUCCCUCUAUCCCCC
This 51-nucleotide transfer RNA is filed under the name Prosthechea ochracea. RNAcentral describes it as "partial tRNA-Leu". Lineage: Eukaryota; Viridiplantae; Streptophyta; Magnoliopsida; Asparagales; Orchidaceae. The record is from RNAcentral.